RNAcentral lists this unclassified non-coding RNA (245 nucleotides) under Ceriporiopsis sp. RNAcentral describes it as "partial contains 5.8S ribosomal RNA, internal transcribed spacer 2, and large subunit ribosomal RNA". The stretch from base 1 to 52 matches the Rfam family "5.8S ribosomal RNA", at positions 103 to 154 of the family's 154-position model. Lineage: Eukaryota; Fungi; Basidiomycota; Agaricomycetes; Polyporales; Meruliaceae. The record is from RNAcentral.
AACGCACCUUGCGCCCUUUGGUACUCCGAAGGGCAUGCCUGUUUGAGUGUCAUGAAAUCUCAACCUCCCCGGGUCUUUCCCGGGCCGGUUGGACGUGGGCGUUGCCGUCUGGCUCGCCUCAAAUGACUUAGCGGGACGACGGCUCCCCGACGUGCUCAAGUAUCGUCGCCACCCCGGAGCCCUGCUCACAACGCUACACUUCUGACUCUGACCUCAAAUCAGGUAGGACUACCCGCUGAACUUAA